CUCUUAAUGAAGAGGUUAAGGUAUUUUAAAGAUAUUUUUUCAUUUUGUGUUUCUAGGGGUAACAGGGAUUUAUAAACUUUUUGGAGAUCUCUGUGAUUUGUAGACGUUUCUUAUUUAAAAUAAUUAUUUUAAAACUCAACGUUACUAUUUCCUCUAUGGAAAUUAUCUAUUUUAUCGUUAGAGCGUUUCCUCAAACCUUGGAAAAAAAAAAUGCGCUCUCUUCAUCAGGAGAUGGCGCUGUGCGGUGUGGUUUGGAAACCAGUACCAGAACCACCUGUCUGUCUUGGGAGCCACAUGUUGGAGAAAGUACAAACAUCUUCCUCAAGAGUGGACUUCUGUUCAGCAGUGGGUUCUCUGUAUACUUCCAAAGUCAGAAAAAGGAUGAUGAGCAAAUGUGCUAAUAAAGGUUGAGAUGCCCCCCAGCUUUGCAACCCUAUCUAUUACUGUGAUUGCUAAUUUGAAGUGCAUUGUGGAGUGAGGAAGAAGCUGUUGAAAAGCAUUGAGUGCAGUCCUGUAUUUCUGAUCCAACAGUUUGGAGCAGAUUGACAGAAGUCAAAGAAAAUGAUAUAGAGGCACACUGUCUUAAUUAAAUAUAAGCCUUUACUUGCUGUUGUGACAGAAGCUUUACUACAUCAAACUUCAAAAAUUGCUUUAGUAGUAAUGGAAGAAAUCAUGGUUUGAAGUCAAAAAGGAAUGCCGUUCACAUUCAUAUUUUACAUACUGUUUACAUUUAAUACUAUUGCCUGUGACAGUAGAGCAUUCAGGUCUGAACCACAGAAGCAAAGUUCCUCUGUAGAGGGUAUUGUGGUGGUAGAAGAAAAAUGCAUGUCAGGCUUAAACAUCUUAUUUUAACUCUGGAUAGUAGUGAGAUGACUUGGUUGUAAUAAAUCCUGUGUUUUAAGUACUCUGGUUAUUGUU
This 918-nucleotide long non-coding RNA is filed under the name Anser brachyrhynchus (Pink-footed goose). RNAcentral's name for it is "lncRNA (ENSABRG00000008042.1)". Lineage: Eukaryota; Metazoa; Chordata; Aves; Anseriformes; Anatidae. The record is from RNAcentral.